RNAcentral lists this ribosomal RNA (253 nucleotides) under uncultured bacterium. Its description in RNAcentral is "partial 16S ribosomal RNA". It matches the Rfam family "Bacterial small subunit ribosomal RNA", at positions 524 to 776 of the family's 1533-position model. The record is from RNAcentral.
GACGAACCGUGCGAACGUUGUUCGGAAUCACUGGGCUUAAAGGGCGCGUAGGCGGGCGACAUAGUUGGGGGUGAAAUCUUUCGGCUCAACCGGAAAAUAGCCUUCGAUACUGGUCGUCUGGAGGGGGGUAGGGGCGUGUGGAACUUCCGGUGGAGCGGUGAAAUGCGUUGAUAUCGGAAGGAACUCCGGUGGCGAAGGCGGCAUACUGGACCACAUCUGACGCUGAGGCGCGAAAGCCAGGGGAGCGAACGGG